RNAcentral lists this ribosomal RNA (253 nucleotides) under uncultured bacterium. RNAcentral's name for it is "partial 16S ribosomal RNA". It matches the Rfam family "Bacterial small subunit ribosomal RNA", at positions 524 to 776 of the family's 1533-position model. The record is from RNAcentral.
UACAGAGGUCUCAACCGUUGUUCGGAUUCAUUGGGCGUAAAGGGUGCGUAGGCGGUCGUGCAAGUCGGAUGUGAAAUCUCAGGGCUCAACCCUGAAACUGCAUUCGAUACUGCGCGGCUAGAGUGCUGGAGGGGAGACUGGAAUUUACGGUGUAGCAGUGAAAUGCGUAGAUACCGUAAGGAAGACCAGUGGCGAAGGCGAGUCUCUGGACAGAAACUGACGCUGAGACACGAAAGCCAGGGGAGCAAACGGG